RNAcentral lists this unclassified non-coding RNA (334 nucleotides) under soil metagenome. RNAcentral describes it as "partial contains 5.8S ribosomal RNA, internal transcribed spacer 2, and large subunit ribosomal RNA". The stretch from base 1 to 120 matches the Rfam family "5.8S ribosomal RNA", at positions 35 to 154 of the family's 154-position model. The record is from RNAcentral.
GAUGAAGAACGCAGCGAAAUGCGAUAAGUAAUGUGAAUUGCAGAAUUCAGUGAAUCAUCGAAUCUUUGAACGCACAUUGCGCCCCCCAGUAUUCUGGCGGGCAUGCCUGUUCGAGCGUCAUUUCAACCAUCAAGCCCUGCUUGUGUUGGGGUCCUGCGGCUGCCCGCAGGCCCUGAAAACCAGUGGCGGGCUCGCUAGUCACACCGAGCGCAGUAGCACAUCUCGCUCAGGGCGUGCGGCGGGCUCCAGCCGUUAAAGCUCCCACCUUUCGCAAGGUUGACCUCGGAUCAGGUAGGAAUACCCGCUGAACUUAAGCAUAUCAAUAAGCGGAGGA